UGAGUAACCUGCCCUUGACUCUGGGAUAAGCCUGGGAAACUGGGUCUAAUACUGGAUACUACCUCUUGCCGCAUGGUGGGUGGUGGAAAGGGUUUUACUGGUUUUGGAUGGGCUCACGGCCUAUCAGCUUGUUGGUGGGGUAAUGGCUCACCAAGGCGACGACGGGUAGCCGGCCUGAGAGGGUGACCGGCCACACUGGGACUGAGACACGGCCCAGACUCCUACGGGAGGCAGCAGUGGGGAAUAUUGCACAAUGGGCGGAAGCCUGAUGCAGCGACGCCGCGUGAGGGAUGACGGCCUUCGGGUUGUAAACCUCUUUCAGUAGGGAAGAAGCGAGAGUGACGGUACCUGCAGAAGAAGCGCCGGCUAACUACGUGCCAGCAGCCGCGGUAAUACGUAGGGCGCAAGCGUUGUCCGGAAUUAUUGGGCGUAAAGAGCUCGUAGGCGGUUUGUCGCGUCUGCUGUGAAAGCCCGGGGCUCAACCCCGGGUCUGCAGUGGGUACGGGCAGACUAGAGUGCAGUAGGGGAGACUGGAAUUCCUGGUGUAGCGGUGAAAUGCGCAGAUAUCAGGAGGAACACCGAUGGCGAAGGCAGGUCUCUGGGCUGUUACUGACGCUGAGGAGCGAAAGCAUGGGGAGCGAACAGGAUUAGAUACCCUGGUAGUCCAUGCCGUAAACGUUGGGCACUAGGUGUGGGGGACAUUCCACGUUUUCCGCGCCGUAGCUAACGCAUUAAGUGCCCCGCCUGGGGAGUACGGCCGCAAGGCUAAAACUCAAAGGAAUUGACGGGGGCCCGCACAAGCGGCGGAGCAUGCGGAUUAAUUCGAUGCAACGCGAAGAACCUUACCAAGGCUUGACAUUCACCGGACCGCCCCAGAGAUGGGGUUUCCCUUCGGGGCUGGUGGACAGGUGGUGCAUGGUUGUCGUCAGCUCGUGUCGUGAGAUGUUGGGUUAAGUCCCGCAACGAGCGCAACCCUCGUUCUAUGUUGCCAGCACGUGAUGGUGGGGACUCAUAGGAGACUGCCGGGGUCAACUCGGAGGAAGGUGGGGAUGACGUCAAAUCAUCAUGCCCCUUAUGUCUUGGGCUUCACGCAUGCUACAAUGGCCGGUACAAAGGGUUGCGAUACUGUGAGGUGGAGCUAAUCCCAAAAAGCCGGUCUCAGUUCGGAUUGAGGUCUGCAACUCGACCUCAUGAAGUCGGAGUCGCUAGUAAUCGCAGAUCAGCAACGCUGCGGUGAAUACGUUCCCGGGCCUUGUACACACCGCCCGUCAAGUCA
This 1276-nucleotide ribosomal RNA is filed under the name Kocuria rosea. RNAcentral's name for it is "bacterial SSU rRNA". It matches the Rfam family "Bacterial small subunit ribosomal RNA", at positions 118 to 1404 of the family's 1533-position model. The record is from RNAcentral. Lineage: Bacteria; Bacillati; Actinomycetota; Actinomycetes; Micrococcales; Micrococcaceae.